UAAACUAUCGAUCAUUCCUCGCUUUACCGUUUAAUUCGAACUAAGGCGAUCCAAAAAGGCGCCAAAUUGGGAGCGACCAUCGCAUUUCGACACCCCCCAUUGCAGCAAGGGGCGCCAAAUUUCAUCAUCUCCCAGUUCCUCUUUCCUUCUGCAAUUUAGCCCUAAAAUUUCUCCUGCGAUUAAUCACUUGAUUGUUGAAAAUUCGGAGCAGGACGAAGAAAUAAAGAGUGGAACGCUUCAAAUCAACUGGCAAGACUCGUUAUCAAGGAGGUGAGCUGAUCAUAUGGAAUUUGCACCAUUUGGAAAGUGGCCAGACUUGGAAGGUCCUGAAGACGUUAUUGUAUUUGUAACAUAUCACCAACGUUGAAAUCGGUUAAUACAACCUAUAUAUUUUCUAGAAAGGGUCUUUCGAGGCAAGACUCAAUUAUGUGUAAUUACUAGUUUGCUUAUAAUGAUAAAUGAUAAUUAUGAUGAAGCAAUAAUGAUUCGUGAUACCGAGCAUCUUUGUACAUCUAUGACACUGAAAGUGUUGUGCCACUAGCAAUCAUGGCUGGUCUUCACUAUGCUACCAUAACUAAUGUUGCAUGGUUGGCAGAUGCUCAUUAUUUAGAACUGGCUUCUCACGAUGGUUACUGUACUUUGGUGGAAUUUGAAAAUUAUGAGCUGGGAUCACCAAUCGUGCUAUCAGAUGAUAGAACAUGCACAACGACCAAUCAGAAUACGAGUUCAACAGAUGCGGUGACUGUAAACGAUGAUCAAAAUAGGAAAACAGAAGCAGAAGUGAAACAAGAAGAAAACAAAAGCAUUGGAAAACCAGAUAACAUAGUGAUUGAAAAAAUAGCCGACACCAAAGGACAUGAAAUGAAAAAGAGGACUAGUAAACAGGUACAUAAGCUCUUCAAGCGACUCUGUUGCCAGCAAGCCAGCCAAAAGGCGCAUUACACCAUGGCUAUUGUUCCAUGAAAGAGGAAUAAAAAAGUUUGAGUUGACAUGACGAUGAGGAUAUAUGUAGGCCCAAGUGUGUUGGACCAGAUGAUUUGUUGGGUUGUGUCACAAAGGUCACAUGAAUUGAUAAGACCCAUUGGCACAGCUUGCAACUUGGCUGGAUUUGCAGGGUUAUGAGAAAGUCACCUCAUGUUAAACCCAAAGCUGCAGGGAGAGCAACACUUCUGAUACCGCAAGGCAGCUGCCUCAAAGUCUGUAUUAUCUUUGAGUAGCA
Cucurbita maxima (winter squash) is the source of this 1219-nucleotide RNA transcript. It is a transcript of the gene named chromatin assembly factor 1 subunit FAS2-like, with no coding region annotated. The transcript is spliced from 7 exons. NCBI's taxonomy places the organism in Eukaryota, Viridiplantae, Streptophyta, Magnoliopsida, Cucurbitales, Cucurbitaceae. The record is from RefSeq and is a predicted model, not a curated record.